This 299-nucleotide unclassified non-coding RNA is filed under the name fungal sp. RNAcentral describes it as "partial internal transcribed spacer region". The stretch from base 1 to 46 matches the Rfam family "Eukaryotic small subunit ribosomal RNA", at positions 1786 to 1831 of the family's 1831-position model. Lineage: Eukaryota; Fungi. The record is from RNAcentral.
AAGUCGUAACAAGGUAACCGUAGGUGAACCUGCGGUUGGAUCAUUAACAAAAAGAUAAGCGUCAGACCUUAAAACGUCUGGCACUUAUAAACACCUGUGCACUUGUAGUGUUUGAAGCAAGGUAAAAUUGGAGACCCAGUAGGGUCUUUGGGGGUGUUGAAGGUUAAUUAGCCCUAGUUGCUAAUGCGUUCAUACCUCACCUUCCUGCUUUGACAUCAACAUUUAACAUGUAUAUCUUGAGCUAGUUUAUUAAUUAUAUUAAUAUCUAACAACUUUUGACAACGGAUCUCUAGGCUCUC